CUGGCGGCGUGCCUAACACAUGCAAGUCGAACGGGAAAGUGGAGCAAUCCAUGAGUAUAGUGGCGACCGGGUGAGUAACACGUGACUAACCUGCCCUUGAGUGGGGGAUAACCUCGGGAAACCGGGGCUAAUACCGCAUAACAUCUUCAGGAUGAGAAGCUGGGGAUCAAAGGAGCAAUCCGCUUAUGGAGGGGGUCGCGGCUGAUUAGCUAGUUGGCGGGGUAACGGCCCACCAAGGCGAUGAUCGGUACCCGGCCUGAGAGGGCGCACGGACACACUGGAACUGAAACACGGUCCAGACUCCUACGGGAGGCAGCAGUGGGGAAUUUUGCGCAAUGGGGGAAACCCUGACGCAGCAACGCCGCGUGGAGGAUGAAGUCCCUUGGGACGUAAACUCCUUUCGACCGGGACGAUUAUGACGGUACCGGUGGAAGAAGCCCCGGCUAACUUCGUGCCAGCAGCCGCGGUAAUACGAGGGGGGCGAGCGUNGUUCGGAAUUAUUGGGC
Molecule: ribosomal RNA, 506 nt
Filed under: uncultured bacterium
Lineage: Bacteria
Description: bacterial SSU rRNA
Rfam family: Bacterial small subunit ribosomal RNA
Source: RNAcentral